RNAcentral lists this ribosomal RNA (500 nucleotides) under uncultured bacterium. RNAcentral's name for it is "bacterial SSU rRNA". It matches the Rfam family "Bacterial small subunit ribosomal RNA", at positions 28 to 531 of the family's 1533-position model. The record is from RNAcentral.
GAUGAACGCUGGCGGCGUGCCUAAUACAUGCAAGUCGAACGCGAAAGGUCUGAAGCCUUCGGGCGGAGGGCCGAGUAGAGUGGCGAACGGGUGAGGAACACGUAGGUGACCUGCCCCGGAGAGGGGGAUAACCGUCGGAAACGGCGGCUAAUACCCCAUAAGCUCACGCGAGUUAGAGGGCGUGUGAGAAAAGCUCCGGCGCUCCGGGAGGGGCCUGCGGCCCAUCAGCUAGUUGGUAGGGUAAAGGCCUACCAAGGCGAAGACGGGUAGGGGGCCUGAGAGGGUGGUCCCCCACAUGGGAACUGAGACACGGUCCCAACUCCUACGGGAGGCAGCAGUAAGGAAUAUUGCACAAUGGGCCAAGCCUGAUGCAGCAACGCCGCGUGCCCGAGGACGGCCUUCGGGUUGUAAAGGGCUUUUCUGGCUGACGAGGAAGGACGGUAGGCCAGGAAUAAGCGUCGGCUAACUACGUGCCAGCAGCCGCGGUAAGGCUACGUAGA